UACAGAGGGUGCGAGCGUUAAUCGGAAUCACUGGGCGUAAAGCGUAUGUAGGCGGGCUUCUAAGUCAGGUGUGAAAUCCCAUGGCUCAACCAUGGAAUUGCAUUUGAAACUGGAAGUCUUGAGUGUGGGAGAGAUUGGUAGAAUACCUGGUGUAGUGGUGAAAUACGUAGAUACCAGGUGGAAUACCGGUGGCGAAGGCGGCCAAUUGGCCCAACACUGACGCUGAGAUACGAAAGCGUGGGGAUCAAACAGG
Molecule: ribosomal RNA, 253 nt
Filed under: uncultured bacterium
Lineage: Bacteria
Description: partial 16S ribosomal RNA
Rfam family: Bacterial small subunit ribosomal RNA
Source: RNAcentral